GUGGAGGAGCCCUCCGUCGAGAAACGACAUCGUUUCUCCGACUUGGGUUGUGUCGUUGACGUACUUGAGCGCUGACCAUGUGUCGUAUUGGUAAACGAGAGCAGCGCUCAUCCAAGCGCGAGCGUCUUUGAUUCGGCCACGUGUCAGAGCGUGAUCCGCCCAUAGUGUGCGGCGUUUGGAGUAAGAGAGUAGCUCGAGGCACGUGUUCGCGGCGUUGGUGCGGUUUAGAUUACCUACGGACGCGCCCAGGAUAGACUUGAGUUUGGACUGAGCUGUUUCGAGUUUUUUGAAAGAGACGGAGAUCGCUGAGUGGAUGAUCUGAGGUGGGGUGGGAUCCGGAGGGACAAGACCUGGUUGGGAUAGUGAAGAGAGGCAUUGGUCGGGGUAACGAGUUGCGUUGCAGGCGAGACGGAUCUGAGAGGUAGUAGACGAGGAGGGAUUGAGCGGAGGAGACUUGUGGUGGUGAUAAGUUUGUAACUCGGAACUCUCGUAUCACACAAUCAAUCUCGAAUAAGUAAAGAAACUCUCGAUCUUAUUGAAACCCAAACCAACGUUUACAAACGAAAAGGAUAAAAGGAUAAGCUGAUAAAGUGAAUCUCAGGUCAUGAUCUCAUGGCGAUCCGUGCCUGAUGAUUCAAUCACGAUCUCAUGGCGAUCGUGAUGAAAGGAGACUCAUGGCGUCUACACUCUCUACAAUAUACAGCAUAAGAAACUAGCACGAAGAAGCCACGUUAUUUAUAUGACAUGAAGAAGUCUUGAGCAAAGACUCUAUUCCACUCAGAGUCUUUGCUAUCCACGUUGACCAUCCUUGACUCAUAUGUUUCUUCUCCCUCAAGCUUCUAUCCUCCUCAUUGCUCUGUUCUUCCUACGAAGUGGAACCUAUCAAUACCCCGCCCUUUCAGAUGCAGCUUGUCCUCAAGCUGAAAACAUAGAAGGUGUUUGUGGCGGCACUUGGAAUGAAGCACAUUACCACCAGCUGAACUUCUCCAAUACUCCCAUACGUUCACCAUCCUCAGGAAAGAUGGUUGCAGCCUUUCUCCACUUUGAAAGCUCCUUAAGUACAUUUCCUUUCCCUAGUUCAAUCAGCUCCCUCGCGUUUGUACUGGACAAGAACGUGAGUUCAUAUUGCUCAGGGUUGUAUUUAAACAUCCAAGAUUUAAAGAAUUUCAUCUGAGGACUCCGAGCACCACUGUGAAAAUCAGAGUAGAAACCACUCAAAACCAAUCCAGACUGUGCCUGAAACAGAAUCCCUGGUUCAUUUGUCUGCAGCAAAUCCGUCUUUGUACGUAAUUCAUCAACUUGAAGACAUUUUGGCAGUGAUUUAUAUGUAAGCCGCGCUUCUGGUGAAGAACGUAACCAAGCUUCCAAUGGAGCACUCUCAAGACCUGAUUUAAUCUUUAACAAAGCAACAGGGUUGUCAUGAAGCGCAUUCUCAUUUUGUGAAUUCCUAAGCCUCUGCGUAUUCCCAAUUGUCAGCUUGAUCUUGAAAGUAGUGCCACUGUUCUUCUCUAUUUGAGUCAUGAGCUUUCCGUCACUCCAAGUACCUGCACCACCCACUGGAAAGUAGACAUUACUCUCCAUAUCCAAAUUCUUACAGACUACCGGAGCUCCAGUAUCAUGUCCUUUUUCUGCUACUGGUUGCCCUCUUCCAGGCCGUGUAAAGUCUGCACCAAAUGGCACCUUUGGUUUGAAUUUGAACUUCCAAGAUUUGGAUUUCUUCUGCUGGUUUAUGGCUUGUUGUAAUACAUCUCUCAGAACAAACAUUUGAGCAAACACAUUGUAGGCGUUUAGAGUAGAGCCCACACAUGUUGUUUGCGCAUAAAACGCAUCCUCUUUCGAUGGUAUUAGAACAAUGAAUGGACUAACGUCUUGCUUCUGAACCUCAAACACAGUAUCUGUUUCCAGAUACUCCAACAAUUUUUCUCUAUGGCCAGAUUCAAGAACAGAUUUUGAUACCAGAGGUUGUAACAUUGGCAUGUCCUCGUGGUCAACUUCAAUCACCAGAUUCUGAAUUGAGUCUCCUGCUGGAAUCUUCUUUGUCUCCACUGGUAUCUUUACAGGACUUGAUUCUAGCUCUGCGUCAGUCAGAGGUUGAUUGAUAGACUCUGCCUCACGAACAACUUCAUUUCUCAUAUCAGAAUCUUGUGCUUCUUGUGAAUCCUCUUCUUGAAUCAAGUCUUCCACUGUAGAUACCAGAGACACCAAUUCUUCUGCACGAUCAAUCACUGGAACUGUCUCUCUCUCAUGAAGAAACUCUGUUGCACCAGUUAAGCUUUCCGUAGGAACAGUCUCUAGAGUUGAUAUGUGGUUCAGAAACACUGUUGGUGAAGAACAAGUUUUCACUAGAGGCAUCUCAAGAACCUCUGGAGUUCUCACUGUCUCCAAUGAUUUAUUUGGUUCAACUACAGUCUGCGAAAUCACUUCCGUCGUCCGUGUUGCUGCUUGUCGAGAACAUCUUUUUACCGGAGAAAAACGAGCCACCAGCCUGCGCUUAAACUCACACCAGGUUCUGAAUCCACCAAAGUAAAGUUCCUUCUUGUACCAAAAGAAUGCUUCUCCUUCAAGGCACUCAGACAACCUUCCUAAUCUCUCAUCCUCGACAACGUGACAACUCUGAAAAUAUUUCUCUAGUCUCAAGAGCCAGCCAAAUGGACUAGAUCCAUUGAAGCGCGGCAUAGCAAUCUUCGUGACGAAACUAUUGCUACGUUCAUAGUGAGGAAGAUCAGAUUCCAUAGAAGGAUGAGAUACCUGAAUCGGAUCAAUGGAAGUCGUAGCAAUUGUUGUUCCCGUCGUGGCGAUCUGGGUAAGCUGAUCAAAACGCUGAUCCACUGAAUCGAAUCUGGUCUCAUAAGUACCCAGACACUUCCCAAUUGAUGAUAAAUGAUGAUCCGCUACAUGAGAAAGCUUCGUCUUCAAAAACUCUUCUGCAACAUCUUGUUGUGCUCUGAUCUUACAACAACGCUCUACGAAUCGUGUAUUAUCCUCUAUCAAUCGAAGCUUCUCUGGAUCGUCAUCAUCCCCAAACUUGAACAACAAGGCAACCUUCAACGAGUACCAGCUGUGGAAAGGCAAUCGCCAGUGCUGGAUAUACGUUUUCGCAUCUCCGGAGAUUAAGGUCUUCCCCAAACUCACCUUCUGCGAUUCUGAUAGCCUCACCUGUGCAAACCUCUUUUCCAUCCAAUCGAUCCAUUGACGUAACGCGAAACCUUCGAAAAUAGGAAUCUCCACGAAACUCAUGGCGUUUGAUUCGAUCUAGCUCACGAACGCACCAAUUUGAUAAGUUUGUAACUCGGAACUCUCGUAUCACACAAUCAAUCUCGAAUAAGUAAAGAAACUCUCGAUCUUAUUGAAACCCAAACCAACGUUUACAAACGAAAAGGAUAAAAGGAUAAGCUGAUAAAGUGAAUCUCAGGUCAUGAUCUCAUGGCGAUCCGUGCCUGAUGAUUCAAUCACGAUCUCAUGGCGAUCGUGAUGAAAGGAGACUCAUGGCGUCUACACUCUCUACAAUAUACAGCAUAAGAAACUAGCACGAAGAAGCCACGUUAUUUAUAUGACAUGAAGAAGUCUUGAGCAAAGACUCUAUUCCACUCAGAGUCUUUGCUAUCCACGUUGACCAUCCUUGACUCAUAUGUUUCUUCUCCCUCAAGCUUCUAUCCUCCUCAUUGCUCUGUUCUUCCUACGAAGUGGAACCUAUCAGGUGGUGAUGGUGGGGACGGGAGGAGGAAGAGGGAGAUGCUAAGAGGAAGAGAGAGAAGAGAAGGAUGAGAGUGGAGGACAUGGCGAUGAUUAAGAGACAGAAUAUGCCAUUAGAGAACGAUGUGUAUAUAUGGAAAUGAAUUAAAAUUUUGAGGAAUUGUUUUUUUUAAAAGCGGGAAUUAAAAUUAAAAAAUGGAGAGAGAUGGAUUACAGUCACAGACCAUUAGAGUCACGGGCGAGCAUAGUGGAACGAUCAUGCG
RNAcentral lists this long non-coding RNA (3956 nucleotides) under Brassica napus (rape). Its description in RNAcentral is "long non-coding RNA (BNAP_LNC001062)". The record is from RNAcentral. Lineage: Eukaryota; Viridiplantae; Streptophyta; Magnoliopsida; Brassicales; Brassicaceae.